RNAcentral lists this ribosomal RNA (527 nucleotides) under uncultured eukaryote. Its description in RNAcentral is "SSU rRNA". It matches the Rfam family "Eukaryotic small subunit ribosomal RNA", at positions 24 to 549 of the family's 1831-position model. The record is from RNAcentral.
UCAUAUGCUUGUCUCAAAGAUUAAGCCAUGCAUGUCUAAGCACAAGCCGAUUAAUGGUGAAGCCGCGAAUGGCUCAUUACAACAGCCAUAGUUUCUUAGAUCUUACUUUUCUACUUGGAUAACUGUGGUAAUUCUAGAGCUAAUACACGCAAACAAGCUCAGACCUUACGGAAUGAGCGCAUUCAUUAGAACAAAAACCAAUCGGGCUUCGGUCCGUCAUUUGGUGAAUCUGAAUAACUUUGCUGAUCGCACGGUCUUCGUACCGGCGACAUAUCUUUCAAAUGUCUGCCUUAUCAACUUUCGAUGGUAGUUUAUGCGCCUACCAUGGUUGUAACGGGUAACGGAGAAUAAGGGUUCGACUCCGGAGAGGGAGCCUGAGAAACGGCUACCACAUCCAAGGAAGGCAGCAGGCACGCAAAUUACCCACUCCCGGCACGGGGAGGUAGUGACGAAAAAUAACGAGACGGCUCGCUAUGCGGUCCGUCAUCGGAAUGGGUACAAUUUAAAUCCUUUAACGAGGAUCUAUU